Megachile rotundata (alfalfa leafcutting bee) is the source of this 5529-nucleotide unclassified non-coding RNA. The record is from RefSeq and is a predicted model, not a curated record. NCBI's taxonomy places the organism in Eukaryota, Metazoa, Arthropoda, Insecta, Hymenoptera, Megachilidae.
GUACAUUUAUUUUCCGUAAUAAAACUAUAGAAGUUUUUAUUGAUGAGGUUAUAAACUUCUAUUGCGGAUGUUCGUAUACGACAGUGUUAUGUAGAUUUUAAAUCAUGCUUUCGACCGGGAUUAAAGAUGCACUGGCUGUUACAGCUUCAAUUUGUACAGUUUUGCAAUUUUUAGCUGGCGUGCUGAUAUGCAGGAAGAUCAUUAAAAAUGGAACGACAGGAAAUAAUUCAGCUUUGGCAUUUAUAAUGUGUUAUACAUCGUGCAUUUUAUGGUUGAGAUACGGAUAUCUUUUGAACGGAAAUCGAGUGGAAUUUUCCAGACAUAUUAGAAAGUUCGAAGAGUUCCGGGUGAAAACAGUUGGCAGCACUGAUGCUUCGAGAGAGGAGAAAGAGGUGCGGUGUUGCGUGACUGAUUGCGAGACCGAGCGUGUGUGUUUGUUGUGUUGUACGAUUUUUAUUCUCCUUUUGGGAAGAAAAGUUCGUUUGGAAGACCGUACGCUUGGAAGAAAAAUGUCGUCGUAUAUUCAAGUUGCGGAAGACGAAGGCGACGAGCCGAUAGAAUUGCCAACGGAAGAUGAUAGUACACUUUUAUUGACUACCGUAACCGCCCAGUUUCCCGGAACGUGUGGCCUCAAAUAUCGCAACCCAGAAUCUCGGACGAUGCGCGGCAUUCGUCUCGUUGACGGACGUCUUCAUCCGCCUGAAAAUGGAUGGGGCAAGGCGAUUUACUUUUGUGUUUUUCCAAAAGAGAACAAACGUAAAUCUGAUGACAAUUUGGAAAAUUCCACAGCUAAGACUAAAAGAAUGGAAACAAAGUUGCGUUGCACAGACUUGAUCGUACUUGGUUUACCAUGGAAAACCACCGAGCAGAACUUGCGUGAAUAUUUCGAAACGUUUGGUGAAGUACUGAUGGCUCAGGUAAAAAAGGAUGCAAAAUCUGGACAAAGCAAAGGAUUUGGAUUUAUUAGAUUCGGAAGUUACGAAUCCCAGUUAAGAUGUCUUGCUCAGCGGCAUAUGAUAGAUGGAAGAUGGUGCGAUGUCAAAGUUCCCAACAGUAAGGAGGGAAUGAUUCAGCAAGUACCCUGCAAGGUAUUCGUGGGACGCUGUACAGAAGACCUAACUGCCGAUGAUCUACGCGACUAUUUCUCCAAAUAUGGCGAAGUGACGGACGUGUUCAUCCCAAAACCUUUCCGUGCAUUUUCAUUUGUUACUUUCUUAGAUCCCGAGGUAGCGCAGUCCCUAUGCGGCGAGGAUCACAUAAUAAAAGGAGUGUCGGUACACGUGUCGAACGCUGCACCGAAGUCCGAGGGCAACAAUAAGAAUUUCAAUAAUCAAGUGAAUUCGAACAUGCGUAGAGGCGCCCCAGGUCCCGUCGAGAAUAACGUGCAAGGAAACUAUCAGGGUAACAGAUACAUGGGCCACUCAGGUAACAAUAUGGGUCCAAACGGUUGGAACAAUCCAGGGAACCGGGGCAACUUGGACAUGCCUAACCUCCAAGCAUUGGGCAUUACUGGACAAAAUAAUGGCGGUGGUGGCGGCGGUGGUAUGUCGAAUCCUUUGGCGAUGGGAGGUCUGAACCUGUCCGCGUUACCAGUCAACCCUGCUUUGGUCGCAGCUGCAUUGAACCAAGCAUCUUGGGGUCUGAUCGGUAACUUGCAGAAUCAGGGAAACGAUCAGGGCUAUUCGAACCAGCCUGGCCCACCUGGUCAGCCACCUUCAGGCAACAAUAGUAUUGGUAACAGUGGAAACUCUGGCUUUCUCAGUUGGAUGAAUCAGGGAGGAGGUGAUGGUAAUACAGGCAAUCCUGGAACAGGUGGUCCAGGCCCGAAUAAUCCCAACGCAUCCCAAGGUGCUUGGCAGAACCAUCCAGGACAACGUGAUCAAAAGUCGAACACCUUUCUCAAGUACGAGUAAGCUGCAUGGAGAGGAGAGAGAGAGGGUCCGAGUGUAAUCGUGGAAUGCGGCGAAUCCGUUUCUUUGAUCCUGAUACACGUUAUCCAGUGGCGAGAGUCUAGGCAAGUGUGUAGUAGGUACAAAAUAAUUUUCCUUUUUGUAGAGGGAACCAAAACCUCUAUAUUAAAAUAGAUGGACGGGUUCGAAACUGUCUGUUUGUUUUUCUACGAUUAAUGAACAGAUUGAUUUUCUUUAAUUCGAUUUCAUGCGAUCACGUGAUGCAUAUAUAUAUAUAUAUACAUACAUACAUACAUACAUACAUAUAUACAUAUACAUGGUGUGCGUGCGGGUGUGUGUGCGCGCGCGCGUGUGCGUAUGUAUAUAUACACACCCAAAUACAUAUAUAUAUAUAUAUAUAUAUAAUUAUGAAUAUAUAAUGUAUGAAUAUAAGUAUAGAUAGUGUGCUCUAACGAGUAAUAAGAGUGUAAUGACAAAUAUUUUCCUUUCGUCUUUUGCACGUCACGCAAAAUGUAUUUCUGACUCUGUCUCUCAUAUUUCUUACCGCCUUCCUCAGAGACUAGCACAAGUUCUUCGUUGGCAACGAUAGAUGAAUGUGCGUGUUGUAAAAGACGGAUAGCUUCGAUCAUCUGAACUUGCGUUUUAACUGUAUGAUCUCAUUUCAAGCGUGCGGUCUAACCUACUCGGAGAUAAUUACUGUAUUGAAAAGAUAAUGAAGAUGCUGAUGAGAAUGAGAAUGAGGAUAAAGAUGAGGAUGAGAAUGGUAAUGAGAAUGAGGAUCAGGAUAAGAAUGAGGGUGAGGUUGAAGAUGAGGAUGAAGAUGGAUGAGGAUGAGGAUGAGGAUGAGGAUGAGGAUGAGGAUGAGAAUGAAGAUAAUAAUGAUAUAUGCAUAUAUACAUAUGAUACAUGAUGAUUGUGUAUGUGUCGUAGAAGACAAACAAGAUUUAUUGUAGCGAAGUUCGUACAUGUGCUUAUGUUUAUUUAAAGUUUCGUGCCGUGUAUUUAAUGUGUAAUUGAGAAUUAAUUGAGAACUUCGUAAGUACGCAGAUCGCGAAAUCUUUAGAUGGUGAGAAUUUAAACUUUUUCCGAUCACGGAACGUGGUAAUCCUAGCUUUAUUUUCUUAAUUACGUACCAAUAACGUGGUACACUGUUUCUUUUUACGGACUAAUGCUACCAGAGUACUUUUGUCAUGUUAAAUGAAUCGUUUACCAAAAGAGCUACUUCACUAUCGGUUAAUCUUGAGACCAAAAAGAAAAGAAUUAAUCGACAACAAUCAUUUCAUUUCCAAUCUAUGUUCAUUUAAUAAAUCUAUAUAAUGCAUAUUUUUAUUAAUAAUAUUUACCUAUGGGUGAAAUAUCAAAAAUAGUUGUUACAAGUUAAAAGUCGGAAUCUUUAUACCGAAACAUUUUUUUUUUCUUUUUCUUAAUUUUAUUUUAAUCAUUACUACAUACAAAAUUGUAAAUAUCAGAUAGUUCCAACUUAUUUCUUACAAGACCAAACGAAAUUUACAAAGACCGAUUCUAUAUUUAAUGCAACGUGUUUAUUAUAAGUGUGGUAUAUAGCGUGAGAAAUAAGAAUGUAUGGAAAAGCAUAAAUGUAAAAUCGCAGUUAUAUACAGAUUGAUCGCAGCUACCCGAGAUUUAAAAUACUUAUUAACGUUUAUGGAAAAUCUCGCCUUAAAGAAAAGGAAAAACGAAAAGAAACGUGUCUGCACGUGCACGCGAACGAGAUUUAUGUGAGAAAUGUGUUUUUCAUUGAGAACGGUGAGUGCGUAUACAAAUUCUAUUAACUGCUUGCACGUGGAAACUAGUAUCUCCGAUUUGUUUGAUUUUAAAGCGUUCAAAGCUUUUAGUAUACCUUUAAAAAAAUUAAGUUCUUACGUGUUAAGAAUCGAGUAUUUAUUUUCCAAAGAUCAUAAGAAAUAAUUUCAUUCACGUUGCACGAUUGUAGUCAAUAAUUCUUAUGUAGACGAAGUUGAAAAAAGAAAACAAAAUAAAUUACACACAAUCUAAGUACAGCAUUAACUGAACACUACAUUCAAAUUAAUUUAGGUAGAAUAUUUCAAGCUAACAGUUACGAGUACACGUUAUCGAUAAAUUAAGCAAUUUUCAUCAGAGAUACGUCUAUGUUAUUUCGCCUUGUCUCUAUAACAAUAUCGUGCUAUAUUUCCGACUUGAUAGGCCGGCAAUUUUACCAAACAUUCAAUGUUAAUUCAAUUUUGCAUCGAUAAUUUAGUCGAACAUAGUGUGCACGUGUACUCUUAGUUGUUAGAAUGAAUAAAGUUUAAGUAAACAUAGAUUUAUAAAUAUAUAUUCUGUGAGUUAGAGCUUUUCAAAAGUUCAGGAAAUGCGUGAACACUUACCUUGCUGACAUUACGAACACGAAGAUGUCUUCUUUACUAAUAAGUAUACGUAUGAUUUUGAUUAAUGUGACUCCGCAUGCAAUCUCAAGAGGCUCUAACUCGUUACAGAAACAGACACAGAGCCACACUUGCGUAAUGCUAUGUCAUACUUGCAAUUAGCAAUACACCGUAAUAUAAUUUGGCCAAAUAUUUAAGGAUUAUACAGUCUCUCAUGUUUUUAAGGCAUAUAAAACUCCUUGUAUUCAAAACUGAUCAUUAUUUUUCUUGUUCUCGUUUAAGAAAUAAGAAGAUUAUAUUAGAUUGGAUUGUUUUGACGUGUCUCUCUGUGUGUAUGACGGUCGAAUGUAUUUGUUAAUGGUCGUCUCAGAACUACAGGCAUGAAAGUUUAAUCGAGAUAUGAUCUGCUGUUUAAUGAUGAGAACCUCUAUACUACGUAUUUAAUGCAAAAGGAUAAAAGAAAACUACGUGUUGAUAUGAUGAGUGCAUAUAUAAUUAAUUGUGAGGUGAGCGAUAAUUAAUUGCGAAAAAAAUAAUAUUUUAUGAAUGGGACACAGUCGUUUAUUGAAUGCCUGAAUAUAUACUAUAAUAGAUAAAUAUAUAUAUAUAUAUAUAUAUACACAUAUGUAUACGUAUAUAAAUAUAUAUAUAUAUAUAUAUCUUUAUUGAUCCAAGAAUGUUUAUACAUAAUGUAAAGAGAACAUUGAUGGAAAGUGCGUCGAGUUUAUUUAUUGACGUCCUGCUGUAAAUGAUAAACCGAUAUACAGAGACUGUAGUUUAAGACAACUUUUAACAGACAUUAGAACCGUUUCUAGCUCAUUACUAUAACCGGCCGAUCUAUUUCAAAUCGUUCGCUAUUCACUGGAUUUAUUUAAUCUUUCGGAAAUGAAAUUCGUUUUAUUAUUGGUGCAAUUGAUAAUGUUUUUAAGAGAAUUGUUGCCAAACUGUUUGCAAGAAAACUUUUGCCAAUUUUCAAUCGGUUGAUAAUACCUGUUGCUCAAAAGAUGCCUUGCGAAACGAUUUGGAAAUGAUCUAUGAAUUGUGUAAAUAAUAAGUAAGGAGCAUUAAUGUCAUUCGUCAACGUAACGAAUUUUGUUGUAGACAGUUCUAUUGUAAAUUACAAUUGAGAUUGUGUUUCGAUUAAGACAUGGCAUGAUGACAACUGAUAACAUCAAUUUUUGUCACGUGAGAAUGUUAUUUUGAUAGAUGGCAGAGAUUGAUUCUUUAUUACAUAAGUUCAUUACAAGAUUAAAAACUGA